RNAcentral lists this ribosomal RNA (489 nucleotides) under Ligia vitiensis. RNAcentral's name for it is "partial 16S ribosomal RNA". It matches the Rfam family "Bacterial large subunit ribosomal RNA", at positions 1826 to 2600 of the family's 2925-position model. Lineage: Eukaryota; Metazoa; Arthropoda; Malacostraca; Isopoda; Ligiidae. The record is from RNAcentral.
CGCCUGCAAAUACUCCUGCAGGUAGACUCUGCCCAAUGAGUUUUUAAUGGCCGCAGUACCCUGACUGUGCUAAGGUAGCAUAAUAAUUUGCCUCUUAAUUGGGGGCUGGAAUGAACGAGCUGACGAAGAGAAAACUGUCUCUAAGGGGCCAAUAAAAAUUUAUACCUAAGUAAAAAAGCUUAGAUCCUAUAGGGGGACGAUAAGACCCUAAAAGCUUACCCUAAAAGGCAACUAUAACUCUAUAAAAUUGAUUGCCUAUGCAGGGUUUUGCUGGGGCGGCAACUCUACAAACAAGAGGCUUAAAACCACAUUAAGUGAAUUCCCCAACCCUUAUUUAAGUAUCUAUUCUAAGUUACUUUAGGGAUAACAGCAUAAUUUUCUGCUAAAGUCCUUAUUGACCAGAAAGAUUGUGACCUCGAUGUUGAAUUGAAUUUCCUCUUUGGAGCAGUAUCUAAAAGAGGAAGACUGUUCGUCUUUUAAAUAUUCACG